Molecule: ribosomal RNA, 503 nt
Filed under: uncultured bacterium
Lineage: Bacteria
Description: partial 16S ribosomal RNA
Rfam family: Bacterial small subunit ribosomal RNA
Source: RNAcentral
AUUGAACGCUGGCGGCAGGCUUAACACAUGCAAGUCGAGCGGGGUGAUGGUGCUUGCACUAUCACUUAGCGGCGGACGGGUGAGUAAUGCUUAGGAAUCUGCCUAUUAGUGGGGGACAACAUCUCGAAAGGGAUGCUAAUACCGCAUACGUCCUACGGGAGAAAGCAGGGGAUCACUUGUGACCUUGCGCUAAUAGAUGAGCCUAAGUCGGAUUAGCUAGUUGGUGGGGUAAAGGCCUACCAAGGCGACGAUCUGUAGCGGGUCUGAGAGGAUGAUCCGCCACACUGGGACUGGGACGCGGCCCAGACUCCUACGGGAGGCAGCAGUGGGGAAUAUUGGACAAUGGGGGGAACCCUGAUCCAGCCAUGCCGCGUGUGUGAAGAAGGCCUUAUGGUUGUAAAGCACUUUAAGCGAGGAGGAGGCUCUUUUGGUUAAUACCCAAGAUGAGUGGACGUUACUCGCAGAAUAAGCACCGGCUAACUCUGUGCCAGCCGCCGCGGUAA